Molecule: transfer RNA, 73 nt
Filed under: Lithothamnion sp.
Lineage: Eukaryota; Rhodophyta; Florideophyceae; Hapalidiales; Hapalidiaceae
Description: tRNA-Thr
Rfam family: tRNA
About the family: Transfer RNA (tRNA) molecules are approximately 80 nucleotides in length.
Source: RNAcentral
GCCCUUGUAGCUCAGUGGUAGAGCAUUUUCUUGGUAAGAAAAAGGUUACGAGUUCAAUUCUCGUCAAGGGCUC